RNA transcript from Medicago truncatula (barrel medic), 1254 nucleotides. It is a transcript of the gene named 50S ribosomal protein L7/L12, with no coding region annotated. The transcript has 3 exons. The record is from RefSeq and is a predicted model, not a curated record. Lineage: Eukaryota; Viridiplantae; Streptophyta; Magnoliopsida; Fabales; Fabaceae.
AAAACACAUCACCAUCGUCUUCGUUCGUAUAUAGGGUUUAUGCACGAAAAUCAAUCACGAAUUUGAAAUCACUCAAAACCAUGAAAAACAGAACAACCCACUAUUAACAUCUGUCCACCACCGUCAACAAUGAAGUUUUCACGUUUCCUACAAUUCUCACAUCUCCGCAAAACCCUAAUUCAAAACCCUAAUUUCCUUUCUCCCCAAAUUCCAAAACCCUACAUCAUCCCCCCAAAUCCAAAAUCCCAUUUACGCAAUUACAACACCGAUUCACCGAAUCACGAAAAUGUAUCAGCAAUCGUCGAGGAACUCGCAGGAUUAACGCUUAUCGAAGCAAUGGAUCUCGUUGAAGUGAUGCGAGAGAAAAAGGGAAUCAACGAGCUUCCGAUUAUGAUGUUGAUGGUUCCUGGAAUGGGAAUAAGGGGAAUGCCGAGGGGUGUGGGUGGAGGGAAAGGGGGUGGUGGUAGUGAAAAGGGAGGUGAGGUGAAGAAAGUUGAGGAGAAAACGGCGUUUGAUGUGAAGCUUGAUGGUUUUGAUGCUGCGUCGAAGAUUAAGGUUAUUAAAGAAGUUAGGAGUUUUACUAGUUUGGGGUUGAAGGAAGCUAAGGAUUUGGUGGAGAAAUCGCCUACGCUUUUGAAGAAAGGUGUGACGAAGGAAGAGGCCGAGGGGAUUAUUGCUAAGUUGAAGGAGGUUGGUGCAAAAGCUUCUAUGGAAUAAUGAGGGGAAGAAAUGAAAAGAAUGCAGCAUUGUUCUAACAACAACCAAAAAUUGAAGCUCUUAGGUUCAGUGGGGAAAAAGCCGGGAUGAAAAACAAAACAUGGCGAAGAGGUUUCGUUUUUGUAGCAGCCAGUGCCUCUCACCCAAGUUUCCAUUGUCACUGAAGGUCUUUUCAUAGUGCAGAGCUGUUAUAUUUUGUUGUAUUUGAAAACUUUGUUCAGCUCAUUAUACUCCGUCUCCCCCCUUUUCAUUUUUAUUUUUCCCGUGUAUCAGGCCCUUUUUGCACUAAAAUUUAUUGAUAGUUUUUUAACCAAUGUUGUAGAAUUGAUUUAUGAUGGUGGAGUUUUAGACCCAUUGGAUGUCGACUGAACUACAAUAACCACACAAUCAUGUGUAAUGAAUGAGCAACUGGAAUAGGAGUUGCAACCUACAACCUGAUUACAGUCCCUUCUUUAACUUCUUUUGGUUGUGUUCAAUUUUGUAAAACUGAUAUUACCAGACUUUUUCACUGUUCAUGUUGUACCUCAUUUCCGUUUA